This 468-nucleotide ribosomal RNA is filed under the name uncultured bacterium. Its description in RNAcentral is "partial 16S ribosomal RNA". It matches the Rfam family "Bacterial small subunit ribosomal RNA", at positions 28 to 507 of the family's 1533-position model. The record is from RNAcentral.
GACGAACGCUGGCGGCGUGCUUAACACAUGCAAGUCGAACGGAAAGGCCCUGCUUUUGUGGGGUGCUCGAGUGGCGAACGGGUGAGUAACACGUGAGUAACCUGCCCUUGACUUUGGGAUAACUUCAGGAAACUGGGGCUAAUACCGGAUAGGAGCUCCUGCUGCAUGGUGGGGGUUGGAAAGUUUCGGCGGUUGGGGAUGGACUCGCGGCUUAUCAGCUUGUUGGUGGGGUAGUGGCUUACCAAGGCUUUGACGGGUAGCCGGCCUGAGAGGGUGACCGGCCACAUUGGGACUGAGAAACGGCCCAGACUCCUACGGGAGGCAGCAGUGGGGAAUAUUGCACAAUGGGCGGAAGCCUGAUGCAGCAACGCCGCGUGCGGGAUGACGGCCUUCGGGUUGUAAACCGCUUUCGCCUGUGACGAAGCGUGAGUGACGGUAAUGUGUAAAGAAGCACCGGCUAACUACGUG